UGGGCCAAUGGUCCGAAUCGAAUUGUUACAAUACCGAUGAGACAAAUACACCAGUCGAUGGCAAACCUUUAUUCUGAAUGUGGCGGUGAUUUGGAAUCACUACCCUACUCCAGUUUCACCUUGUCAGUCACUCAUGCGGAUUAAAAUGCCACCCACACACGCGAAAGCACGUAUUGGAAAUCAGGCUGUGGUAGUUACAGCACGUUAACCAGUCUCAAGUAAGGUACCAGUACUUACUGCCUGGAAUAAAAUUGGCGUGAUGCAUGUGGGAACUGGGAAGACAAAAGCAAAAUACUGCUAGAUACAGGACUCGCGGGAUAAAGCCAUGUAUAAUUCCCCGAAGCAACAAUACCUAAGGCGUAUCCCAUAAUAGCAUCCCUUGGUUGGCGUGCUACCACCGUCCUCCUCUACUUCUCUGCCAGCUUUUCAAGCAUCAAUAAAUUCCCAGUCCUAGAACAGGGUUUACUUCCGAGCUAACAUGACCAGGAUAAAGCUGCAAAGAAGUCCCUCCCCGGGGCGGGGGUCACACUUCUGUGGGCCUGCUCUUCCUUUUGCAUAAUUCCUCAUUGCAGACCAACCCCUCCCCGCGCCUUUUUCCUUUCCAAAGCCCUCGCCCUAUGCCGGUUAAAAUGUUGGUCCCCAAACACAACCUGGCGGCUCAAAUUUAACAAGCCCUAUCUUAAUAUCCUCCCCCUCCCUCCGCCCCCCUCUCCCUGUGGUCUGGUUAAUUUCAUACACAAGAGAUGAAUUACCGAAGGGAUCUAAUUGGCCUUGUUUCUGCAAUAUUGUGUGUGUGUGUGUCUCGGUGUAAAAGUCUCCUCUCGACGUGGGUGGUCGGAGCGGAGGACGUCUCCAAUUUGCCUCCUGGCUGAUGCGCACGAAAGAGCGCGGCCGCCUUCCUCGCGAGCACGUUGCCCCUGAUCCAUCUGUCCUCCCUUCUUUACAUUGGUCCGCAUUGUUACCUUUAAUAUGCAUGGCCCGCGCAUGUAGCUUGCGCCUGGGCAGCAGGAUUUGUCAACUUCAAGGAAUCGCGAGGCGGCUCCUGCGGAUUUAAGGGAGACGGAGCGCUGCCUUUGUGUGUGUGUGUUAUCGGGCUCCACGGGCCCGGCCUGCCUGCCGUUCUUUGGCGUCUUGCUUUUUCCACGUGGCCUGGGAGAAUGGAGGGACGAGGCGAGGCCUGCAGCGGGCCCGGGCCAGCCAUCGCUCCAGCUGGCCUUUUCUUUCUCGCCUGGUUGCAGCGGGAUCUGCAUUUCAUUAGAAACCUUCCCUUGGCGCCACAACAAUCGCCCUUGCAAGCAAUCUCGGUGCACCGGGACCAGCCACCAUAGAGAAGUCCUCUUGGUGGCGAGAGAACUUCCAGAGUUUCGAUCUGUCCUUGCCAUGCCGAGGUCGUAAAGCGAGGCCUUGCAGCAUCCGGUUACAUUCAUAAAAAGAGACGACGUUGAAAUAAACCACCUGCCUUCACGUGGGGGCGGGGAGGGGAGAGGGAGGCAAGACGUGAAACUCUUCAAGCAGUUGGCAUGAGAAAGUCCCCGGCCUUACUCAAUGGGAGUACAGAAACCCAUUUUCCAGGAAGAAAGCCCAGACUGUCCUAUGGAAGCUUCUGCAGACAACAGUUCCAUUGAUUUCUGAAGGACUUGGAACACAGUUUGGCUUCAUGUUUCAUGACGAAAACGUCCCAUCCUGUCGAGGAGGCAACUGUUAAAUCCUAAGCUGUAAGCGUCUUAAACGGGACGUCCGACGGAUCACCGCCACUACUAACGAGCAGCGACCCGUGGCUAGAUCACACACGCACAGAGGGAUCCCUCUCUCCCUGUCUCUCGUUCUCUCCCCUAGCCCUGAUCACCACGACAGUAGAUUGGAAGACACGUCCGGAAAGAGCCCAUCUUCCCCCUCUCCACACUGCGCUUGCUCGGAAGCAAGCCCCAUUCUGACGUGCAGGGACCCCCAACAAUCGUGUUUGAGUCCCUCGCGAAGCCAAGAUCAAGCUACAAGCCGCUUACUCCAGAGUAGCCUCAGAGAAGUCGGGGGGGGGGAGAGAGAGGAUGCUGCAAAGCUCGUGGGAAAAGAAGAGCCCCAAACUAAGUAACACGAAGUUUGUGUUCAGACAAGGAUUGUAAAUCAAUCAGAUCCACAACUUGGCAAACUCGCCUCCCCUUUUUGUUUUAAAUGCCAGUUAAAGGUAAUCCUGGGUGGUUGUGUUUUUUUUGCGGGAGGGGGGGUGAGAGAGAAGGCAACCCCAGCAGACACGCACGACUUAAUCCUCCCUGAAACACAACAAAAUCCAACGCGCUGUCCAGCAAAUUUUUCUCCCAGGGAAACAAAUCUCUCUCUCUCUCUCUCUCUCUCUCUCUCAUUCCCGGGGAGGGGGACUCCUCGCGGGCGGAAGGCAGGGUGGCGACCCUAUCCAAGCGUGAAAAUAGGAUCCCCGAGACCUCCUUGGACGCGAAUUAUCACCGAUCAGUUCCGUCCUCGCCACCCCCAGCGGCAGCCGCCCUCCUCGCCCCCACCGCCAAACGAGACGCUGCCUGCCUGGGGGGCUGUGUGUUCCUGCAGUGACAGGAGCGAGGCGAAGCUGCCUCCCCUCCGCCUCCUCUCCCCCAAGCAAAAAGCCAUCCUGCGUUUCCUUCCUCUUGUUUCACCCCCCCCCCGUGCCAGGAUUUGCCCUCUGCCAGGAGAUCUCUCUCUCUCUGGAUCCCCGCUCCCACCCACGGGUGCCCCCCUUCCUGUUUCAUUUCCCAGCCCAGAGGCCAUUUUCCGUUGCAUCUCUUACCAUCUCCCCGCUGAGCCCCUCGGUGGGGCAGGGUGAGCUCCCGGUGGGGCCGGCCAAUUUCAUUCAG
Podarcis raffonei (Aeolian wall lizard) is the source of this 2840-nucleotide long non-coding RNA. RefSeq lists it as uncharacterized. The record is from RefSeq and is a predicted model, not a curated record. The transcript has 4 exons. Lineage: Eukaryota; Metazoa; Chordata; Lepidosauria; Squamata; Lacertidae.